AGACAUCUAAGCUUGAAGUUUUGAAAACAAAUUCAGCUAGUGGAAGGGCUUCUCCGAUGUUGCAACGCGUAAAGUCUUCAAAAACUAUCGCAGAUAGAAUGAAGAUGUUUGAAGCCAUGUCAGGAAAAGACUAAUAACAACAACAGUAUUGAAUUGUUUCACUUACACGUAGAAAAAUGAUUCAGUUACUGGCAAGCCACCAGAAGAGACAAUGUGUAAAGAAAUUUUAAUGAUUAAUUUUUCUUUCUCCUUCCCAUUUUCUAGAUUUUGAUACAUAGAUUGCUUUAAGGGCGCCCUCAAACAUAAGCUAACCCACUGGGUGUCGUUAAAAGGAUAUAUAAUACUCUCUUUAUAUAUCGUACAAAUAUAAUUUUUUUUUGUUAUUGAUCAUUUGGUGUAUGUUAGAAUUUUAUGAAGGAUGUGCCAUUACUACCACAGGGUACAGUAUGUCAAAGUUGAGAAAAAUGUCUCUUAGCUAUUUUGAAAAAAUUUAUUACACAAAUAGUGUUUUUAAAUAGUGUUAUUAAACAUAUAGUCAUGAAGAAACCAUGCAAAGAAAAAUGUUAUUCUCAGUAUUUUAAAUAUCAACAAAAUAUAAAUAAAUGUGAUACCAAAUUGCUCCAUGACAACACACCUUUUGAAUGACAAAAUGUUGUUGGUGGUGAGGGAGCUAUUAAAGCUGUCUGAUGGGUUAUCAGUGGUGGCCAGUGUUUGCCAAAGGAUAAGGCUUGCCGGGCGUUCAGGAUUUUUUUCAGAAUUUUUAAGAUGUUCUGAAAAUGUUUUAGCAAAAUUAAAUACAACAGGAUGUUUCCCUUUAUUGGUUUGAGUCACAGUCGGCAGAGGUAUGGCUUGUCCAAUGAAGGGUUAAGGCCCCUGACACCCCAGUGACUAUUUAUAUACUGUCUUUUUUAUGUUGUCAUGGUGUUGGUAGAGAUACCUAUUAAAGUUUGUACCUGUGUGAUUAUUUGAACUUUAUCAUUAACAUAACCAGUACAUUGUAAUGUGACACUGUUUCUGCACAGUGGUUAUAUGUUAUUAGGAAGAAAAUAAAAGUGGGGUGUGGAAUGCUAUAAAAAAUAAACAGGAGUAAUUUUAAAUGUUGAAAUAACAUUUCCUGUAUUAAAUUGAUGCAUAGAUUAUUUAAUAUUUUAUAAAGAUACUUAAAUAUAACUACUACUUGAUAAUGUCAUUUUGGGCUUUGUUUUAUUUGACUUGUAGAUUUGAAUCUAUGGUUUUUAUAAACAGUUUAAAUCUAUUUUAAAUAUUUUAUAAAGUAUAUAAGAAUAUUAUAAUGAAUUGUUUUUGAAAAUGUUUGCCAAAUUUAAAUACUCAGUACAGGAACUGAGACUACAGGUGCCUACUUAAUAUAGUGUUUAGUUUAGGGUCCUAUUGAAACUGCCUUGUUAGUAUACAAUAGUCAAAUUUAAACUCAAUUUUUUAAUUGCUUUCUACAUUUAAGUAAUUAGCUUAUAAGCCAAAUCGUAGUUAGAACCGCACAUGCUUGUAUUCAUGGUCAAUCGAGGUCAAUCGACAUAAACACAAUAUAUAUGGUGUUUAUGUCGAUGACCUUGAUAGGAGCAUGCGCAGUUCUAUCUACGAAAUGACUUUUUUAAAACAAGAAAAUAUUUUUUCUUGCCAAUUAACAGUGGUAUAAAUAAUACUGUUUCAAUAUUCUUUACAUAUAUACACUUAAUUUAGCUGGUAGUUUAAGAAUUGUAAAAUGUUCAUUAAUUACAUUAAACAUUAAAAUGUUUCUUUUUAGUAGCCGCUAAAUGGACAAUUCAAUGAUUUAAUCAAUUAUUAAGGGUUCCAGAUUUAAAACAGUACCGUACAGUAUCGUUUAUUGUGACUUGCAUUCGUAUUAUUUAUCUAUUUUUCCAAUACAAAUGACAAAAAGGCCAUACAAAAAUGGCUCCACUCUGGUAGAUUUUUAUAUAGGAAAUAUAUAUCUCUCCUUUAAGUGACACAUAACUAUGGUAACAAAAAUUACCACAGUACUUAAACAUUCAACACAACAUUCAAACAAAUAUUUUAUUUAUUUAUUUAUUUUAUUCAACUUUCUUUAUACAGGAUGGCACGCUCAAUGCAAAUGCCCCGGUUUUCGUUGUGGUCCAGUUAUAGCAUAAAAAAUACAAAAGUGAUAAAAAGAAUAGGAAAAUAUAAGGAAAUUUUAACAAAAAGGACUUAAUUACAAAAUAGAGAGAUUAAUUAUUUUAGAGCAUUUUUAAAGGUAUUUUUAUUUAAAUUCUGGAAAUCCCUAGUUAUGUUAAUAGGUAGGUAUUAAACUUACAUAAAUACAAUUCUAAAAAAAAAAAACACUUCUCACCUAUCAUUUUCUUAUCAUGAGCUGGGGCACGCUUUAAAACGUCAAACUUGACUAGUUUAUUUUCCUAAAAUAAUAUUCAAACCAUUUCCAAAUACCUGUGCAAAAUUUAGAUGUACAUAUAUCUCAUCCCAAAUUCUAGGAGACAUUGGAAUAUUUAAACUUGGAAAGUUAAAGUAUUUCCAGUUUGGUGAAACAUAUGAAACAGUUAGUAUAAUUAUAAGAACUGAAAUUAAUGGUUUUCUUUGAAUCUGCUGCAAAUAUGUAAGUUGCAUUGCUUUUGUAAAUAGUUGCAUUUGUAUAAUUUGGAUGUUUAAUACUUAAGUGCAUUCCAUGCGUUAUUACUCCGGACUGUCUUGUAUUACAAUCUUUCUUCAAGGCUAUACAACCUCACCAUCUAUACUUACAAACUUAACAGUGUAAUAUUGUAUUAUUUUGUGUUAUAAACUUAAGACAUUGGUUGUAAGAUAGCCCAUCUGGUGUUUCAUUUUUCAUUUCGUUUAUUUGUAAUGCAAAACAGUAAUUAUAGUAAUUACCGAAUUACUGAUUAAUACCAGAUAAGAUAGUAUAAUACACUCCAAGUAUCAACACGAUGGCGUGCCUUACAAAUCUUGGAGUAUGUAUUGUAAUAGUGAUUACAAUACAAAAAAAUCGGGAGAAUGAAACUAGUUUUUCACAAGGCAGUGACGUAUUUACUGGUGCACGGGUGUCGCACGCCCCCAUCUCCAAAAAGCUUGGCCUCCCAAGCUUACAUCCCUCACUUCACCAUUUCCCAUGCUUCACCUUCACGUCCCCUCCAAACAAUCAGCCCCAUUUCAAGACUGGUAGAUACGCCACUGCCAAAAUUUUAAUAAAUGAUUUCUGUCGAAUAGAAUAUAAUUACAUAAAAUUGCAUAUUUAAUUAUCAAAUAAAUAAUCUGAUAUAUUAUCAAUCAUAUUAAUACAAUGUACAAUAUAAUGGAUUACAACUAACAAUUUGACAGAAAAAUAAGAACACACAGAAAAGUCAUACAUUAGAGAUCAUGUCUGCCAAGAAAAGGCAGGAAAUUCAAAAAUUAUAGUAGAAUCUUGAAUAGCUCAUUUAAAUGAAUCACAUUAAGCUGAUAACUUCUAAUCAGAAAGCAGUAAAAAAAAAUAGUUGAUUUACAGACAUUUUAUAGAAAAGAAAUCAUAAAUCAGCGUGCAGCUUGUGUUGGUCUAUUUCUAAUUUAUAUUUAUUCAUUUGCUGUUAGACAUAAGGAAUUAUUAACUAUGAUGAUGAUAAUAAAUAUUUGCAAAUUUCAUUGAGAAUAAA
RNAcentral lists this long non-coding RNA (3617 nucleotides) under Anneissia japonica. RNAcentral describes it as "uncharacterized LOC117100399". Lineage: Eukaryota; Metazoa; Echinodermata; Crinoidea; Comatulida; Comatulidae. The record is from RNAcentral.